UACAGAGGUCCCGAGCGUUGUUCGGAUUUAUUGGGCGUAAAGGGUGCGUAGGCGGCGGAGUAAGUUGGGUGUGAAAUCCCGAGGCCCAACCUCGGAAUUGCAUUCAAUACUGCUUCGCUCGAGUACUGGAGAGGAGGCUGGAAUUUACGGUGUAGCAGUGAAAUGCGUAGAUAUCGUAAGGAAGGCCGGUGGCGAAAGCGAGCCUCUGGACAGUUACUGACGCUGAUGCACGAAGGCCAGGGGAGCAAACGGG
Molecule: ribosomal RNA, 253 nt
Filed under: uncultured bacterium
Lineage: Bacteria
Description: partial 16S ribosomal RNA
Rfam family: Bacterial small subunit ribosomal RNA
Source: RNAcentral